RNAcentral lists this ribosomal RNA (2283 nucleotides) under Triticum aestivum (bread wheat). RNAcentral's name for it is "partial small subunit ribosomal RNA". The record is from RNAcentral. Lineage: Eukaryota; Viridiplantae; Streptophyta; Magnoliopsida; Poales; Poaceae.
AUGGCCGUGCCGUCCGCCGCGCCCACCCCGCGCUCCCCUCGCCCGGACUCAUCGGCGGCCGCCGACGCGUCGGCCGACGCCGCCCCGUCCCUGGACUUCGGCGACCCGGCCUCCCUCGCCGCCCUCCGCGGCCUCACCGACGCCGGCGCCGCCACCCGCCUGCUCCACGAGUGCGUCGCCUACCAGCGCGCCCUCGACGCCCGCCUCGACGCGCUCCUCGCCCGCCGCCCCGACCUCGACCGCGCCGCCGCCUCCCUGCUCCGCUCCGCCCCGCCGCUCCUCUCGCUCGCCGCCUCCGACGCCGCGGCCCUCAGGGAGUCCUCCUCCUCCACCGCGGCGCUCGCCGAGGCGCUCUCCUCCCGCGUCCGCCACCUCGAUGCGGCCCACUCGCGCGCCGAGUCCGCCCUGGCCCGCGCCGAGGCGGCCCUCGACCGCUCCCGCGCGCUCGACGCCGCGCGCCGCGCCCUGGCCGCCGACGACCUCGCGGCCGCCGCCACCGCCGUGCACGAGUUCCUGGCCAUCGACGCGCGGUUCCCCACCGACGACGACCUCCGCCGCGACCUGCUCGACAUCAAGCGCCGCCUCGAGGGUCUCGCGCGCCGGAGGCUCUCCGCCGCGGUCGACGCCCAGGACCACCCCGCCGUGCUGCGCCUCGUGCGCCUCUUCCCCCUCCUCGACCUCGCGCCCGAGGGCCUCCAGGUCUACGUCGCCUACCUCAAGAAGGUGGUCGCCCUCCGCGCCCGCGCAGACUUCGAGCACCUCACCGACCUAAUCUCUGCAACCCAGCCUACCUCGGAGCGCCCUGAUUUCGUUGGCUGCCUCACCCGUCUCUUCAAGGAUAUUGUGCUCGCUGUUGAGGAGAAUGACGCGGUGCUUCGUGAGCUACGGGGUGAGGAUGGUGUUGCCUAUGCCAUCAUCGAGCUGCAGGAGGAAUGCGACUCGAGGGGCACCCAGAUCCUUCGUCGCUAUGCUGAUUACCGAAAGCUUGCCCGUCUUUCGUCAGAUAUAAACUCCUAUACCAAGAAUCUUCUCUCUGUCAUGGGUUCUGUCACCAAUGCCGCAGGUGGUAGUGAAGGGCCUGACCCCAGGGAGGUUGAGAUUUAUCUAGAGGAGAUUCUUGCAUUGACACAACUGGGUGAAGACUAUACUGAGUUUAUGGUGAACAAGAUCCGUGGACUGAGGGAUGUCAAGCCUGAACUCGGUCCGCAAGCAAUGAAAGCCUUCCGUAAUGGUAGCUUCAAUAAAAUGGAGAAGGAUUUGACUGGGUAUUAUGUGAUCUUGGAGGAGUUCUUCAUGGUGGAAAACAUAAGGAAGGCCAUCCAGAUUGAUGAGCCAGUGCCUGAUGGUCUCACGACCUCAAUGGUCGACGAUGUGUUCUUUCUACUGCAGAGCUGCUGCCGGCGGGCAGCAUUCACUGCAAGCAUCAACUCGCUACUUGCUGUGCUUGGUGGGGCAACGAGCCUACUAAGCAAUGAGUUCCAGGAGGCACUACAGUGGAGAAUGAGGGAGCCAAACUUGGGCGCAAAGCUCUUCUUAGGUGGUGUUGGAGUUCAGAAGACCGGGGAGGAGAUUGCAACUGCGCUGAACAACAUGGAUGUGAGCUCAGAAUAUGUCCUGAAACUCCGCCAUGAGGUCGAGGAGCUCUGUGCAGAGAUUUUCCAUGCUCCUGCUGACCGAGAGAAGAUCAAGUCCUGUUUAUCGGAGCUAGGUGAAAUCAAUGCUUCCUACAAGAAGAUCCUUUAUUCUGGGCUGGAGCACUUAGUGGCAUCUAUUGCGCCUCGCAUUCGUCCUGUCCUUGACACGGUUACCACUGUUAGCUAUGAGCUGGAUGAUGCCGAAUACGGGGAAAAUGAGGUGAACGACCCAUGGGUGCAGAAGCUUCUCCUUGCAGUCGACACUAACGUUACAUGGCUCCAGCCAAUGAUGACAUCGAACAACUACGAUUCCUUUGUGCACCUGGUCAUCGACUUCAUUGUCAAGAGGCUUGAGGUUAUCAUGAUGCAGAAGAGGUUCAACCAGCUUGGUGGCCUGCAGCUCGACAAGGAGGUUCGCUCCCUGAUCAACCAUUUCUCGGAGAUGUCACAGAGGCCAGUGCGAGACAAGUUCUCGAGGCUUUCCCAGAUGUCGACCAUCCUGAACUUCGAGCGCGUGUCUGAGAUACUGGACUUCUGGGGUGACAAUGCUGGGCAUCUGACAUGGCUGUUGACACCUGCGGAGGUGAGGAGGGUCUUAGGGCUUAGGAUCGACUUCAGGCCCGAAGCGAUUUCUGCUUUGAGACUCUAA